This 8014-nucleotide long non-coding RNA is filed under the name Triticum aestivum (bread wheat). RNAcentral describes it as "long non-coding RNA (TAES_LNC027127)". The stretch from base 819 to 905 matches the Rfam family "MIR1120/MIR1122 microRNA precursor family". Lineage: Eukaryota; Viridiplantae; Streptophyta; Magnoliopsida; Poales; Poaceae. The record is from RNAcentral.
UUCCUAUGAGCAUGUUUUAUGUCAAAGACGUACAUCAAAUGUGUCGUUUCCAGCAUAUCUUCCACAUCAAAUGUGUUCCUUGCAGAAGAAAUGGCUGUUAAGUUUGGCAGCUGUAAAAAUUUCAGGGCAUAACUUCUAUUUUGCUUCUUAUUUCUAAUGUCUACAAUUCCCGUCACUCUGGAACUAAUGUCCUAUGUCGUUCAUAUAUCUCCUGGUUCGUUGCAUACGAUCUAAUUGUAGCAAGAUAAACUAAGCAAAUGUUAUUUCCUCUUUAAGAUGGGGUUGGCUGUCACGCGCUGGCCUAUGGGACAAGAGUCAUCUAACCAGGCAAAUUGAGAAGUGAGUGGUUAUGUUUUCAUAUUGCUGCAUAUUUUACAGACCACUGGCUUAUUUGUGUAAAUGCAACUAUUUUUCCUUUGUUGUAGAUAUGCUGAUAUAUACACUUCAAGGGUUUCAAACUUUCUACACUAUACUCCAUUCAUGUAUUUUCGAUCACAAGAACAGGUAAAUGCACAGAUCCAUAUAAUAUUGUGUCCUGUUACCUUUUGUCAUUUUGCAUUGUGCUCGAGUUUAUUACCUGAGCCUUUAGAGUGGCAAUUCUCCACUACAAUCACUGAAGACACGUUAUAGCAGUAAAGGGAUGACACAAUCACUCCUGCAAAUGCCUUGGAAUAUGUAAAAAGAAUGUUAGACAUGGUUUUAGGAAAGGGCAUUCUGUUGAUUUGCCUAGUGAAGUUAUUUUCUUUGCCACUUGCCUUCAAGUAGUUCUCCUCUUGCUAAGAGCGUUUUGUGCCAAUGGGAGUAGGCAGAGGUAGAAUAUACUCCCUCCGUCCCAUAAUAUAAGAACGUUUUUCAAACUAACAAAGCUUGAAAAACGUUCUUAUAUUAUGGGACGGAGGGAGUACUAUUUAUCAUAUCUACUUGAUGUCGUGAAACUACCAACGCAGCACAUUGAAAAGUACUCCAGGUCACUUGAACAAUCUGCGUACCUGAAAAUCACCACAAUAGCUGUUACUGUGUUACAAAUCUGUAAAGAAAAACAGUAAAAGAACAUCGACAUGAGCACACUAUUUGUACUCCCUCCGUUCCUAAAUGUAAGUCUUUCUAGAGAUUUCAAUAUGGACUACAUACGGAGCAAAUUAGUGAAUCUAUACUCUAAAGUAUGUCUAUAUACAUCCGUAUGUAGUCCAUAUUGAAAUUGCUAAAAAGACUUAUAUUUAGGAACGGAGGGAGUACAUGCUAUACUAACUAUGUGGCCUCCACUUAAAUUUGUUGAAAACAAGCCUAGGGUACGUGCUACAUUGACAUUGGUUGCAUCGACGAAUUACUCUGUUGUAUCCACAACUGUUCGUUGUUUCACUAUGAAUUGUUGCUAAUCCUUUAAGCACCUCUUAGACGCUUGCACACGACGUCCAUUCUUAUUCCGGCGAUCAAUAACAUUGGUGUCAACGAGUUCCCUCUAUGUCUAAUCACGCGCGGAGACUGGGCGAUGGAAAUAAGAAGAAUUGCAAGUUGGUAAGGACUGUGUGGCCGUAGUUGCUGGGCUGCACCAAGCUCCUGGAUACUGGGCAAAGACUGCUGAUUCGCGAUAUGUUGCGAUGUGUAAGUAUUAUUUUUUGCGGGAGUGCAAGUAAUUUAUAUGGCCGUGUGCCAGUACAGCUAAAGUCAUUAGCUAGUUGUAAGUUUUUACACGAUUAGAUUCUUACAGUAAGCGACUGUCGUGGUCGUUUGUUUUGGUUUGGUGAGGAAUAAGAAUGAUGACCAGUGUGAUUUUUAGCAGACCAUGUGAAGUGUUACACAGCGGAGAUCCGGCAGUUUAUGUAACUUAAUUUGUGCAAAGCUUAUGUAUAAUGAACCGAUGGAAUCUCUAUUCAUGAAUGAAAGAUUUCAUCUUCUCGUUGUAAGCCUAUGUUCUGCAUGCCGCCGGGAGGUCCUUGGUACGUGCGGUUUUCCUGGAUUAUUUGUGGGAAUUGCCUGUUUUCAGUAAAAUUCUACUGAAUCCAGGCGUUUUAAUUUCGCUGUAUAUAGGAGCAUUUUUCACUGCUUGGAAAGAGUGGUCAGCUAUAUAUAAAAAACAAUAAGAAAAUAGGAGCAUUUUUCCUACAAAAUUUGGGCUUACAACGGAUUGAUGUUAGAUCCAGUACCAGUUUAAUCAUAUUUUGCAAAAAGGAGAGUAAUCAGCACCUAUUUGCCCAGUUUACUUGUGGUGGGUUCUCUAGCAGAAAUGGACGAGGCUCGUUGUUUUUUUCUGAAAAAAAAAGACCCAGUUUACAUGUUAUUUGCCACGUAGGCAGUCGCCAUGCUCCGUCACAGCCAGCGUGGCUCGUCACCCCCCUAUCUUUGGGACGCACCGCAACAGCUGCAACACUCGGACGCAGCACAAAGCGAAAGAACAAUCCGAGAAAAAGCCCGGCGAAAGCGGCGUCGGCGGCGAUGUUGCGGCAGAUGCGAUGGCUGACGGACAGGGAAGGGAGGUGGGAGCUGGACGUGGAGUCCCCGGCGACGAUGGAGGGCACGGCGCGCCCGGUCCCGGGCGACCCGCUGCCCCUCGGUCUCUCGCGGGGGCCCCGCGUCACCCGCACCAAGCAGCUCGACUUCUUCCACCGCUUCAUGGCCUCCCCGCUCGUCCCCUCCUUCUCCGCCUCCCGCGCCGGCCUCUCCCUCCAUCACGCGCACCUCCUCCAUCUCGCCCACAACUGGUAACCCCCCUCCCCUCACAACCUAACUCACCAACAAUCCUGCGGGAAACGGUCCUACUUACGUAUCUGCACCCUUCCAAGGAUUGCCGCGGUUGAUAGGUAGUGAAAUGUGGUAUACCAGGUGCCGAUUCCAAUACUGGUUCCACACGUACCAGCCCCAUCCGAGUGGAUGGAACAUUAGUCGUAGAUUUCUUAGGUAGUUGUUUCUGAAUGCCUUGUGUCUGGUUAUUGUGUUCGUUUAUUUGAACCUUGCCUGCUUGCACGAAGACGAACUGUAUAAUUGCAAUGAUUUUAAUUCAUGUGUAACAAGUACUACCUCUGUAACUAAAUAUAAGACAUUUUUGCAGUUGAUCUGACCAGACUCAUGUUCACUAACAACUUAAUGUGAUCUGUGCAGGUCAUUUACUAUCUUGGAGCAGCUUCAUGUACAGAAGCUCGUGACAGCCGUGAAGGAGAAGCUGUCAAAUCAUCGACAAGGGGUUCCCUGGUCCAAUGAUCUCGAGAGGCAUUUGCAUGACGUCAUUUCUCUAGGUGUUGGCACGGAAUUCUUGAUCACACCAGACACGGCAUUGCUGCUGGAGUUGUACAAUAUCAACAAGGGGGACCGAGGCAAAGCGAUUAUUCACCACAAGGCAAAACACCUGGAUGCCCUUAGGCUCUUCGGCAUAUAGUUAGCUACUUGCGUGUAUUCUGUUAUGUUUGUGCUGCCAUUUCUCACUAAAUCUUAUUUUCUUCAUGCAUGCCGAUUAGGACAUGUAGUCAUCAAUAGGUUGUGAUGGAUUUAUGGAAUACUUGAUCUUGCUCUGUUUUGGGGAUGACUGGUUUACUGAACUAAUGCUACUGUUGCUGUUCUGAAUGCUUGGAUGAACUGAACCAUUCUUUUUACUGUUUGCAGCUUCCUCAACAAAAUAUUACAUUAGCAGCAUCUUGGCCUGGAUUAUUUGUUGAUAAACAGGGGGUGUACUGGGAUGUGCCUUUAUCAUUGUCAGCUGAUCUUGCUUCAGUCGGCUCCAGUUCUGGAUUGAGUUAUCAUCUAUUGUUACAACAGAAUAGUGGGGAGCCAAAAUGUUUUGGUGGUGAUGAAACCAAUGAUGUUCCUCUCGCUCUGCUACCUGGUUUGUGUGCUAAAGCAGCUAUUUCCAUCAAGAGAAGUAUUGAUGCUUGGAGGAAGAAAGAAGACAAGCUAAAAAUGGUUCAGCCUUAUGAUGCAUUUCUCUCAGACCCUCAUGUUUCAUUCACUGGAAUUGUUGGUAAGAAUCUUACCAUGUUUUACAGUUUUAGUGUUGUGCUGAUAAGCUGAUUACAUCUUUGUAGUUGUAAAAUCUGUCCUUGAGCUUCAGUGACACAUUCUGUAAGCUGCUUUCAAGAAAAGUUCUUGGGUCUACUUGCUUAGAGGUUAUGUUUUUGACAACAUUUUCACUCACAUGCCAUGUCCUGCUCAUUGUCACAUUUCAAGAAUAUAUGAUAAUAUGACCAACAUUUUCCCUAGUGUUCCAAUGUAUCACAAGAUUUUGCAAGUCAAAAAUGGAUAUAUUAUCGCGAACUACUUUAUAGCCCUGUAUUGGAUUUAUAGGUCGCCAGCACCAAAUUGUUUACUGUUUUCUGCCUCAUUUUAUUCAUUCAGGUGCUGUAGCCAGUGGUUCUUUGGGAGAUUGUUCAAAAAGAAUUAUAGUGCCGGACGAAAUGCGAAAAAGCAAUGCCUUCAGAGUAUUCCACGAGAGGAAUAAGUUUGCUGCAUUUGCAGACCUCUUUGCUUCUGUUACUUUUACAGCUCAACAUGGAAAUUUCCAGAGGCUUUUCCUGGAUUUGACCAGGGUCAGUGCCCGAUUAGAUAUAUCCUCAGGAUCUUUGUUCUUACGUGGUGCUUCUCGAUUAGCGCAAGAUUUUUUCUUCUCUAGACGGCCUGAUUUAGAGACAUUCUGUGAUGUUUGUCCAGAUGUGAUUGUUUCUCUUCAACAACAGGUGAGUCAUAUUUUUCUUCCAUUUCACUUUGUGCUCUGUUACCUAGAACUAGAAGGUCAUUCUGUACGCAGACUGUCAUGCCACAAAGCAAGAUACUCUUACUCUCUUUUUUCAGAUUUGAUCUGUCAAAUCAUUUCGAUAUCUUUUUUAGUUCAGCCAAUAACCCUAAGGUGGAAGAAAUUUUGUCUGACAUGCUUUGCUAUUUGAUUAAUCAAGGUAUCGAAGAGCUUAGUUAUACUGUCACUUUCUAGCAGGAAUAGGUUGACACAAUGCUAUUAUAUAUCAAACAACAUACGUGCAUCUCUAUGUUUUCUUUAGGAAAACUUGAUUGGUGUCCUUUUUUUUUUUGACAAAGAGGGCUCUCCCUCCGAUUUCAUUUAACAGAAACCACAAUGUCUUACAUCUACCAGACAGAAAAUAUAAAGCAGCAUAUGCUAUAUAUGACCUAGAGCACCUAGAUAUAUCAAGGUGAUCCACGAUCAUCUGAAGAUCCACCAGGGGCUUCAGUGCACCAUCAGAAGGCACCCAGGACGAUGAGAAGCAAUGCUUUGAGACAUUGCUUAUGCUAACAUAGGGGAGUUUUUUCCACUUCCUAACUACAUAAAGAAAGGAGCAGAAACAAAGUGCACAUGUUUCAUCUAUUACAGGUUAGUACAUGAGCAGACAGAGACGGUAGAACAGCAAAAAGGCCAAAAGUAGCUCCUUCGUCAUCUUGCACUUCCACGGAUCUUCAUUGUAUCCUGAGCACAGCAAAAUGCCAUCCCUCGACUGCACGAAACACUUCACUUGCUGUCUGCUCAAGCAUUCUUACCACCCACUUCAGCUUUCUUUGAUUUUCCUGCUUUUUCUGCAAAACAAUCCAAUCACUAAGUCAUCUAGCAACCAUAUUAACAAGGACACAAGGGGGAGGCGGACGCUUGGUCUAUGAGGACAUUUACACCCUAUAUGGAAAAAAAAGUACUUCAAUAAAAAGUCAAAAAAUUCUGAAAAUAUUUUUGAAAUAAACUUGAUCUUCCAUUGUACUCGUGAGAAAAAUUCCACAAAAAGAAAAUCCCCCUUUGACUUCUUUUCAAAAAAGACAAAUUUUUGGCCAACAUAGUGUGAAUAGUGACCUAUAAUAGCAAAUAAAUGUUGUCUUUUUCGCUAUGAAGUCAACAUUGGUUUUUUUUCUUGAAAACUUAUAUACUUGCAAAAGUAAGUCAAGUUUAUUCUAAAAAUAGUUCUUAACUAUUUUGACUUUUUGUUUAAUUAUUAAAAAAAUCCCCAUAUAGGGUGUAUAUACAACCAGGUUCUGAAGUGUAUUUCCCGACACAAGGGUCGGUAAUUUUUGCAGUGUCAAAGAUAGUACUAUUUCUUCUUUUCCAAAUGGUCCAAAAGACCACAGCCACUCCAGUAAACAUCAGAUGUUUGUCAUCAGCUCUAAAAUUAUUCAACCAACUAUUGAGUAAAGCAUCAGUAUUGUCAGGUAAGUCAAUCAAAUUGAAAGCACAUUUUAAAAUAUUUCACAGCAUUCUAGCCAAGGAGCCUUUCAUGAACAUAUGAUCAAUAGAUUCAUCUAAACUACAAAAAGGGCAAGCCCUCCUACCAAUCCAUCCUCUUCUAAUCAAGUUUCUUUGGAUAGGAUACUGUUUCUAAGAACUAGCCACAUGAAAAAUCUUUACUCUCUGUGGAAUUUUAGUUUUCCACAUAAAGCGAUUGGUGUCCUGUAAUAUGUUAAUUUUAUCUGGGUACUACCUCCGUCCUGGUUUAUUGGUCCUCAUUGUAUUUCGUCCUAAAUUUUGACCAUAAAUUUAACUAACAAAAUGUUCAUGCAUGUCACAAAAAGUUAUAUCUUUGAAAACUAUAUUCAAAUAUGAAUCCGGCGAUAUAAUUUUCAUUGACAUGCAUUAACAUUUUGUUAGUGAAAUCUUUGGUCAAAAUUUGGCACAGAUUACAAAGGGGACUAAUAAACCAGGACGGAGGUAGUACCAUUUUUCUUGAAAGCAAUAAGCAAAUUGUUAGGAGGAGGUAUCCAGUAAUUGAACUCUGCUAGUUACCAUUAGUUUUCUGACUGAUGGCCGGGAUACUGGUUCUUUCCUCUCUCUUUUUGUUUUCUUCUAUCGUUUCAGUUAUUUGUCAAACUGUACACAAGGAUUGGAAAAGUUGGGCACUGAGGACUAACAAGUACUUAGCAACAAGUAUUAAGGGAAGCUAGCAUAUAUUGAUCUAUUGCUAAUGGAUGCAUCGCAUGAGAGCUUAAUCAUGUUAUCAGUUAGGACUAGGUUAUGGUUAGAUGUCGAACUCCAACUCCUUAGCUAUUACUGUAAGGUGGAUACUGACCCUAGAGCCUUAGAGAAAGUACGUGGUAGCUGGUACUAUGGGUCUAUGGCUUGUAUUGCAAGUCCUAUUGCUUAUGACUUCUCCCACCAGUUACUCUGUUAUUGCGGAACACAUUUCAUUACUGAAAUCUCAGAAGCUACAGGAUAAUUAUUUGCCACCACAUGUCAGUCACACAUGGAAUGCCAUGUAUGAAUACCAUUUGUUUCAAGUGGCAAAUACUGUUUUUUCCCCUGUGUAUAGUUACCUUUUUUGGCUUGAUGGUUUUUAUUACUGUUAGAUGGUAUCACCUUCCUAGAACUUAGGAAUCAGUAUUGGUAAGUACUUUUUGGUUAUUUUUCUCCUGUUGCCUUACUUCAAUAUAUUCCAAGCAGAUGAAUUAACCAGACAGUUCAUAAAGAGUUAAAAACACUCAGUAAAGCUAUCCUUUGUUCUAUGCGCAGAUAGUUGGACCAUUCAGCUUUCGUGUUGAAUCUUCUGUUGCCAUUGACCCAAGAAGUCCAGACCAUUUUGUUCGAGUGGGCGACUCGGUCUUCGCCAUUGAUUGGGCCCUGAAGGUUCUGGGUUCAGCAAAGGCCACAGCUUGGUAUUCGCCCAAGCAUCAGGAAGCAAUGGUGGAGCUUCGUUUCUUUGAGGUCUGAUGAAGCAUAUAAAGGUUCCAUCUCACGUCGAAGGUCACAAGCAUAAUCAUGUGGGUUUAUGGUCCGUUCAUAUAGUGCCACAUGGUGUAUCCCAUCAUAUGAAUGGUCGAUGCUGCGUUUAUCAAGCCUAUGCAUACAACACCACUGGAUUUAUCUGGGUUAUAUUACUUUAGACAUAUUGGAUCAUCGGUCCUGCCAUGCUGCUCAUCGGGUAAAAUAGUUUCUGCUAUAGAGUAAUCCACGGAGGAAAUUAUUAUUUCAGUUCUAGGACAGUUGUUAUGUAUUCACAUUGUCCGUCAAUUGAGAAUACAUUCUAAUUGUAUAUCGUACUUUCACUGGCCACAUUUGCUCUUGUUCAUCAAUUCAUUAUUACUAUAUGGUUUGAGAGUUUCACCU